CUCCCAUUAUAUAAUAAUAGUCAUACAAAAAAAAAGUGGCGUCUUUUCUCUGCGCUCCAUUGCGUCCGGUUCCAAUCUGUUUCCGAUUGAAUGCCGGUGUCAAUUCAACUACCUCCUAGCAAAACGCUGUCCGACAAUUUGAGCGACUUCAAAAGUAUUCAUUCACUUCGCAUCGAUUGAGACCAACGGCUACGAUUCACUGAUGUCGCUUGCUGGUGCUAUAUUGAUUUUGUGAUCGGAUGAACUAGUAGUCGACGGCAGAAGCCGUGGUACACACGUCAUUGCUCGACAGCAAUGACAGAGCGAACCCUGAAUAAAUGGGAUCAGAUUCAAGUGCGAAGUUGAACCUGAUCGAUUCCGAUUAUCACUGAGCGAAGCGGCAGCGCCGUCUGAUGACUGUGCGUCAUCUCAGGCGGAACGAUACUUCGCGUCGAUGGGCGCUGAUGGACAACGUGAGAACGCUAACGAAGAAAAUCUACGAAAAGUGGAAACAGCUACUGCUCCCGAACUUCUUACGGUAUCAAGCGGUGCCUCCUGAAUGAGUCUGAGUUGCGCUGAACGACAGUGUUCUGCUACUAUCGAAAAGAUCCCUAUUGGAGUGUCACUGCGUGCUUUCGCAUGCGCAGAUAGAACGGUUUUUCAAAGGCACGCCGAGCACCAAUGAGAGUGCGCCUUUGUCGUAACUUCACAUCGGCUUUGUCGUCUCCAUCUUCGGAGCGUCCAACAGUGCCACCCUGUCGAGAGCUGCAAUUUCCCCCUCCGUCCUUUCCACCCCACCGACCCUACCAGCUGUCUUGGAAGCUUCGAUACUACGCGAGUUAUCCCACAGUCUCCUUACCCAGGCUUUUUGCCGGAGAGCCAUUACAUACCUUCGUAACAAACGGGGAUUGCUCCAAUUCCCCGCUUUAGCCCUCGGCUCCGGGGGUGGCGCGUAGACCCCAGAGCCCCGCGCGAAGCUCCGCCCCUUGCUAGUGCACUGCGCUCUUCGUCUUCCAUCUUGGAUAAUUUGCUAGGGUUGUCCGGGCUCCGGCCGGGCUUUGCCUUCGCGCGACUUGUCUUCGUCCGCUUGGAGGCAACCCCAAGUUGCAAGAGCUGAGAGCUAACAUGAAGAGAAGAGCUAGCAGGAAGGAGUAGCAAAAUUCAGGCUGGUCCUGAGCGACGUCUUGUCCUUCUCCAAUCCAAACAGUGGCUCCGAGCUUGUCAAGUCGCUUAAGUCAUCGCAGUCUCGUUGGAACCGUGGCGUUAGACAAGAGGACGAGACUCGUUUAGCUUUUUUAAACUGAAGAGUAAGCUACGUUUUUGCGACUCCACUCACUCAUUAGCUGUGUCUUCGCGUUUGAUUGUGCCUAUAUGAAUACUGCACUAUUAGGCUAAGUCUGUUGGAAGGAAAAAGGUUUCUUGUUACUGAAACCCUGCACAAGAGUCUUUCAAUACGUGAUUGUGACGUGUGUGGAGCGCAUAUAUCGGCAUCGGCGCUCGUAUCACUCUGGAAAUUUGUCACCGAUUCCAUAAGAUCGACAGCUUCCCAUUAGACGGGAAUAUCAGAUAAUAUAGUGCAGCCAAAUUGAACUGGAUAAUAGACAGAAAAAAAGCCAGCGCGAGACUCAGCCUGCUAGAGACUAACGUGCAAAUACGUAUUCAUUGAAAUACACGCGUCGCAACGAAGGCUUUGGUGCCUUCGCCUAUUGACUGGAAGUGCCGUGAGUGUUUUCAGCGUCGCCACGGUGGGCUGGAGCGGCGCAGGAGCCGGCGGAGGGCUGGCAGGUGCUCCUCGCAGGAUGCUCCCAUUCGAAACUCCUUCUGUGUUCGACCAGCUGCCGCGCUACCUGCUCAAGAUCCCGCGGGUUGUUAAAGACCAAAAGCACAAGUUUGACACGGAUGACCUGUUUCGGAAGCUUAGUCGGGAAGGUGAGGUCCGUUAUACUGGCUUCCGAGAUCGACCUCGAGAGGAACGACAAAUUCGAUUUCAAAAUGGCGUCCGUGAGGGUCAUACCGACUUAGCGUUCGUUGCCAGCGGAACUAACCUCCAACUCGUGUUCAGUCCCUGCCCACCGGUACUCGGAUAUUCGCAAGACUAUUGUGACUUUACGAAGGAACGCGGCAAGGUGCAUCUUCGAAGUGCAUUUAUCAUGAACGGAGUAUGUGUACGAUGGAGAGGCUGGGUCGAUUUGGAGCGACUUGACGGAGCCGGAUGCCUCGAGUUCGAUGAGGACCGAGCGCGGAUUGAAGACGCAAUAUUACGUGAGCAAAUCGAGGUGUACAACCAACGGGUCAGACAGCUCGAGGAGAUUCAUAAGGUCCAUGCUGCGAACACAACAUCAGCUACCGUUAAACGCGAAGAGGAAGUACGACGUCGCGAGUUCGAAAAGGAACAACGGGACAACAACAACGAUGAGAUGAUCCUACCCUAACAAGGCGAAGUCAUUGCUUGCCUUAUAAGUCCCUCUGUCACCCUGGCCCGUAUUCUCAAAAUGCAUACAUUCGAUCAGGCGCUUUGACGCGCACUCGACGAUGCCAUUACACCGCCUCUCAAAGCGAAAGCUGGGAAUAUCAAUUCAAUUAGUGUUGAGCGUAUGCUUGCAUGUCGGUGCAACACGAGGCACUCCGCAGUCGUCGCUCCGCCUGCUAUAAGAGCUCCUCGGGCCGUUUUGUGAGUGGCCAACUCUCGAACCCUCCGCGGAGAGCGUUAGCUGGCCGUUUUAUCUUUGAGCGGCGAUCCGGAGCUGAGAGUCGGCCUUCAGAACGGGGUAGUUGAUGGCGAUGGCGAUUAUGGUGAUGAUGAUGAUCAUGAUAUGACUCAGGAGAUAGACCUACCAAAAAAACGAGCGUCCUAAAGAGAAUAUAGAGUUCGGAAAACUAUGACAUGUGGAGUGGGCUCAGGAGAAAGCCUAACACCGCGAUAGCGGCGCAGUGGACGUGCCCAGCAGAUGAUCCUGGUGGGUAAUGGGGUGGGGAUCAGCACAGACGAGUCAAAUCAGAGAAAAACGGAAUACAAAGUAAACGGUUGUCACCGUUUACCUUGUAUAGAUGUUUUAUACCCACUUUUCAAUCAGGCGAAUCUACAGCAUCUAAAUGCAGUGGCGGCAAUGGAUCAAAGUUGCCAGUGUAAUGUCAGCACAUAAUUGACACAUGGUGAAAGAAGACUUGCUUCAUUUUCGCUUCCAUGUUUUGUUUUAGCAUGGUUGUACACUAUAAGAAAAUUAAAUGCCAUUAUUAAAAGCCCUUAUCGAAAGGCUUAAUACUCGGUAAAAUUUCCACGAGCUAGAUUAUCAUCUAGCUAACGGUGGACCAAAAGGGGGCUCAUUAGGUUCAGACAAUAAAAGUACAAAA
Molecule: RNA transcript, 3330 nt
Organism: Varroa destructor (honeybee mite)
Lineage: Eukaryota; Metazoa; Arthropoda; Arachnida; Mesostigmata; Varroidae
Gene name: protein big brother-like
Source: RefSeq, a predicted model, not a curated record